RNAcentral lists this unclassified non-coding RNA (572 nucleotides) under Aspergillus austroafricanus. RNAcentral's name for it is "sequence contains 18S rRNA gene, ITS1, 5.8S rRNA gene, ITS2, 28S rRNA gene". The stretch from base 200 to 353 matches the Rfam family "5.8S ribosomal RNA". The record is from RNAcentral. Lineage: Eukaryota; Fungi; Ascomycota; Eurotiomycetes; Eurotiales; Aspergillaceae.
UCGUAACAAGGUUUCCGUAGGUGAACCUGCGGAAGGAUCAUUACUGAGUGCGGGCUGCCUUCGGGCGCCCAACCUCCCACCCGUGACUACCUAACACUGUUGCUUCGGCGGGGAGCCCUCUCGGGGGCGCGCCGCCGGGGACUACUGAACUUCAUGCCUGAGAGUGAUGCAGUCUGAGUCUGAAUAUAAAAUCAGUCAAAACUUUCAACAAUGGAUCUCUUGGUUCCGGCAUCGAUGAAGAACGCAGCGAACUGCGAUAAGUAAUGUGAAUUGCAGAAUUCAGUGAAUCAUCGAGUCUUUGAACGCACAUUGCGCCCCCUGGCAUUCCGGGGGGCAUGCCUGUCCGAGCGUCAUUGCUGCCCAUCAAGCCCGGCUUGUGUGUUGGGUCGUCGUCCCCCCCGGGGGACGGGCCCGAAAGGCAGCGGCGGCACCGUGUCCGGUCCUCGAGCGUAUGGGGCUUUGUCACCCGCUCGAUUUAGGGCCGGCCGGGCGCCAGCCGACGUCCAACCAUUUUUCUUCAGGUUGACCUCGGAUCAGGUAGGGAUACCCGCUGAACUUAAGCAUAUCAAUAA